RNAcentral lists this unclassified non-coding RNA (427 nucleotides) under plant metagenome. RNAcentral describes it as "partial contains 5.8S ribosomal RNA, internal transcribed spacer 2, and large subunit ribosomal RNA". It matches the Rfam family "Bacterial small subunit ribosomal RNA", at positions 358 to 777 of the family's 1533-position model. The record is from RNAcentral.
GGAAUCUUCCGCAAUGGGCGAAAGCCUGACGGAGCAACGCCGCGUGAGUGAUGAAGGUCUUCGGAUCGUAAAACUCUGUUAUUAGGGAAGAACAAAUGUGUAAGUAACUAUGCACGUCUUGACGGUACCUAAUCAGAAAGCCACGGCUAACUACGUGCCAGCAGCCGCGGUAAUACGUAGGUGGCAAGCGUUAUCCGGAAUUAUUGGGCGUAAAGCGCGCGUAGGCGGUUUUUUAAGUCUGAUGUGAAAGCCCACGGCUCAACCGUGGAGGGUCAUUGGAAACUGGAAAACUUGAGUGCAGAAGAGGAAAGUGGAAUUCCAUGUGUAGCGGUGAAAUGCGCAGAGAUAUGGAGGAACACCAGUGGCGAAGGCGACUUUCUGGUCUGUAACUGACGCUGAUGUGCGAAAGCGUGGGGAUCAAACAGGA